CCUACGGGACGCUGCAGUGAGGAAUAUUGGUCAAUGGGCGCGAGCCUGAACCAGCCACGUAGCGUGAAGGAUGACUGCUCUACGGGUUGUAAACUUCGUUUAUAAAGGAAUAAAGUGAGGCACGUGUGCCUUUUUGUAUGUACUUUAUGAAUAAGGAUCGGCUAACUCCGCGCCAGAAGCCGCGGUAAUACGGAGGAUCCGAGCGUUAUCCGUAUUUAUUGGGUUUAAAGGGAGCGUAGAUGGGUUGUUAAGUCAGUUGUGAAAGUUUGCGGCUCAACCGUAAAAUUGCAAUUGAUACUGGCAGCCUUGAGUACAGGUGAGGUAGGCGGAAUUCGUGGUGUAGCGGUGAAAUGCUUAGAUAUCACGAAGAACUCCGAUUGCGAAGGCAGCCUACUAAACUGCCACUGACAUUGAUGCUCGAAAGUGUGGGUAUCAAACAGGAUUAGAUACCCCGGUAGUC
This 460-nucleotide ribosomal RNA is filed under the name uncultured bacterium. RNAcentral's name for it is "partial 16S ribosomal RNA". It matches the Rfam family "Bacterial small subunit ribosomal RNA", at positions 338 to 795 of the family's 1533-position model. The record is from RNAcentral.